This 65-nucleotide small nuclear RNA is filed under the name Myotis lucifugus (little brown bat). Its description in RNAcentral is "U4 spliceosomal RNA". It matches the Rfam family "U4 spliceosomal RNA", at positions 1 to 65 of the family's 138-position model. Rfam says of the family: U4 small nuclear RNA (U4 snRNA) is a component of the major U2-dependent spliceosome. The record is from Rfam by way of RNAcentral. Lineage: Eukaryota; Metazoa; Chordata; Mammalia; Chiroptera; Vespertilionidae.
AACAUUGUGCAGUGGCAAUAUCGUAGCCAAUGAGGUUUAUCUGAGGCGUGAUUAUUGCUAAUUGG